Non-coding RNA from Streptomyces sp. NRRL F-6602, 75 nucleotides. The record is from Rfam. Lineage: Bacteria; Bacillati; Actinomycetota; Actinomycetes; Kitasatosporales; Streptomycetaceae.
CUUGAUCGAGCCGAGCCACAGCGGCCGGUCCGCGGGCCGGUCCUGGCCGUAGGUCUCAAGGAGCGCCUGCGCCUC